This 492-nucleotide ribosomal RNA is filed under the name uncultured bacterium. Its description in RNAcentral is "partial 16S ribosomal RNA". It matches the Rfam family "Bacterial small subunit ribosomal RNA", at positions 29 to 507 of the family's 1533-position model. The record is from RNAcentral.
AGUGAACGCUGGCGGUAGGCCUAACACAUGCAAGUCGAACGGCAGCACAGUAAGAGCUUGCUCUUACGGGUGGCGAGUGGCGGACGGGUGAGGAAUACAUCGGAAUCUACUUUUUCGUGGGGGAUAACGUAGGGAAACUUACGCUAAUACCGCAUACGACCUACGGGUGAAAGCAGGGGAUCUUCGGACCUUGCGCGAUUGAAUGAGCCGAUGUCGGAUUAGCUAGUUGGCGGGGUAAAGGCCCACCAAGGCGACGAUCCGUAGCUGGUCUGAGAGGAUGAUCAGCCACACUGGAACUGAGCCACGGUCCAGACUCCUACGGGAGGCAGCAGUGGGGAAUAUUGGACAAUGGGCGCAAGCCUGGUCCAGCCAUACCGCGUGGGUGAAGAAGGCCUUCGGGUUGUAAAGCCCUUUUGUUGGGAAAGAAAAGCAGCAGGUUAAUACCCCGCUGUUCUGACGGUACCCAAAGAAUAAGCACCGGCUAACUUCGUG